CUUGUGAAUGUUUCCAUCACUACAAUUCCAAAACUGUACACAUCCUCUCUUGUUGAAACCAUUCCUUCCAAUCCAUACUCUGCAUUACAAAAAAUCGGCCUAGGCUGCCUGGGCAGGUCUGGGCGGCGCCAGGCGGGUCUGGGUGCCGGGGUGGGUUUGGUUCUUUUCUUUUGUUCUAAAGCCUACUGCCUAGUAAUUUUUCAAACUCAUGCACUGCAAGGCAGGUCUAGGCGGCGCUGGGAGGGUCUGGGCGGCGCUGAGAGGGUCUGGUCGACGCUAGGCGAGUCUGGGCGGCGCUAGGCGGGUCUGAGCGGGUCUAGGUGCCAGGGUGGUUCUGGUUCUUUUCUUUUGUUCUUUAAGCCUACUGCCUAACGAUUUUUCAAACUCAUGCACUGCAAGGCAGGUCUAGGCGGCGCUGGGAAGGUCUGGGUGGGUCUGGGUGGGUCUGGGAGGCGCUAGGCGGGUCUGGGCGGUGCUAGGCCGUUCUGGGUGGUGUUAGGCGGGGUCUAGGCGGGUCUAGGCGGCACUAGGCGGGUCUGGGUGCCAAGGUGGGUCUAGUUUUUUUCUUUUGUUCUUUAAGCCUACAGCCUAGCGAUUUUUCAAACUCAUGCACUGCAGAGCAGGUCUAGGCGGUGAUGGGAGAGUCUGGGAGGCGCUAGGAGGGUCUAGGCGGCGCUAGGCAGGUCUGGGUGCCAGAGUGGGUCUGGUUCUUUAGGGUUUAGGGUCUGGGUGCCAGGGUCUGGUUAUUUUCUUUUGUUCUUUUAGCCUAUACUGCCUAGCGAUUUUUCAAACUUCAUCUAUCUUUGCUAAUUGUUCGCACAAGUCUCAUUUUUGCAUCUAUCUUUGCAUCUAUCUCAAACUCCAUUAGUAAUCUGUCACAUUUUUUUCCAAGUACGUGUGCCAUUUUCUUCUUUGAAGCCAAUAUUUCGAGCAAUAACUGUAUCAGAUGCACCACCUUUUGACCCCAGCAAUAUUGUGUCAUUGCAGGCACAUUUCUGCAGCCACUUUCUUUUAGUCUAUUCCUUAACUUCAUUUUCUUCUAUGUUAAUUGAUGGGAUUCAAAAUUAUGGCAGAUCAUGUUUAGAAAGUUCGAAUUUGAUGGGAAACUAAAUCCUACUUUUGUGGAAGGGGCAUUUAAGCUCCCAUUAUCAAGCAUACGAGCGUAUCUAAAAGAGCCUAUUACUCCCAGGUUUCACAUUCUUUUCAUUUUGUUGGAUUAUCUUAUGACUAAACAUAAUUGAUCUGCUAGGUGCACUUUCUGUUUUAGUCUUUAAAGAAUCUCUUUGCUUGUGUUCCGUGUAGGUUCGUACACCUAGGUUCUGCAGGAGUUACCCGACCUGACAGGCCUGGACUUGAUCCAAGUAAACAACCUCCUGCUAUUCGCUUAAACAAGGAAUUGGAUUUUAUACUGACAUGCAAGUUGAAGGUUUCAUACUAAUUCAGUGCACGCUGUUUGAUAUUUUUAUAUAUAAUCAGUGUAUCAAAAUACCACUUCUUAGCUCUUUUCUGUUCUUUUUCUUUUUCUGGGUCAGAUUUAGCUCUUUCGAUUUUGUACAUUGAUAAGUUUCGGAGAAGGGGGAGGACUUAAUACGGGAAAUGGAAUACCAUAUACAAUUGUGAGGCCUUGUGCAUUAACUGAGGAGCCUGCCGGAGCAGAUCUCAUUUUCUACCAGGGAGACAAUGUAAUGGUAUAUAAUCUCUCUUUGUUGUAUGCCUGUGAUGACAUGUAUUGCUCUUUCUUUCCCUUAUAAUAAUAAUAAUAUCUGAAUGUUAUGAUUUAUAGUAUUUAUAUAUAUGCAGGGUAAGAUAUCAAGAGAGGAGGUUGCUCAGAUUUGUGUUGCUGUUGUAGUGCUUAAUGGAACUGCUUGAACUAUUGAAUAUCUUGCAGGUCAGGGAAAACUGUUAACCUCCCAAUUUGAUCUUAAAAGCAUACAAAAAAACUCCAAAACGCGUGCAAGUUGGUAAUUGAAAGGUUUCCUAUUUUAAUGUUCUUUCCAAGUCUGGUCAUGUUCCAUUUCCAUGUUGUGUUAUUUAAUAAAUUUGGGCCUUGCUGGAAAACCAGUAAUGUUUCAAC
This 2074-nucleotide long non-coding RNA is filed under the name Prunus dulcis (almond). RNAcentral describes it as "sRNA ncRNA". Lineage: Eukaryota; Viridiplantae; Streptophyta; Magnoliopsida; Rosales; Rosaceae. The record is from RNAcentral.